CCCUUAGAUGUUCUCGGCCGCACACGCGCUACACUGAAAGAGGCAACGUGUUUGCCUGAUUCGAAAGAAUUGGGUAACCCCCUAAUCUCUUUCGUGCUGGGGAUUGAGGUUUGCAAUUAUCCUUCAUGAACGAGGAAUUCCCAGUAAGUGCGAGUCAUUAUCUCGCGCUGACUACGUCCCUGCCCUUUGUACACACCGCCCGUCGCUACUACCGAUUGAAUGAUUUAGUGAGGACUUCGGACUGAGUCCAAUGCGGCUUUCGGGCUGCGUUGGUAUUUCGGAAAGAUGUCCAAACUGUAUCAUUUAGAGGGAGUAAAAGUCGUAACA
RNAcentral lists this ribosomal RNA (327 nucleotides) under uncultured eukaryote. Its description in RNAcentral is "partial 18S ribosomal RNA". It matches the Rfam family "Eukaryotic small subunit ribosomal RNA", at positions 1470 to 1796 of the family's 1831-position model. The record is from RNAcentral.